UACGUAGGGGGCUAGCGUUGUUCGGAAUUACUGGGCGUAAAGCGCGCGUAGGCGGACCUGCAAGUCGGGGGUGAAAGCCCGAGGCUCAACCUCGGAACUGCCUUCGAUACUGCGGGUCUCGAGUCCGGGAGAGGUGAGUGGAAUUCCUAGUGUAGAGGUGAAAUUCGUAGAUAUUAGGAAGAACACCAGUGGCGAAGGCGGCUCACUGGCCCGGUACUGACGCUGAGGCG
RNAcentral lists this ribosomal RNA (230 nucleotides) under uncultured bacterium. RNAcentral's name for it is "partial 16S ribosomal RNA". It matches the Rfam family "Bacterial small subunit ribosomal RNA", at positions 524 to 753 of the family's 1533-position model. The record is from RNAcentral.